CUGCUCUCAGGGUCACACCUGGAGAGUUUCCAGUACUCUACCAGUCUCGACUACAGGAGGGAGAGUCAAGCAAAGGCCUGGCCAUUCCAUUCCUAGCUUGGGCAGCGGCUAGCAAGUGGAAGGCAAUCUGCUACAAGU
Ornithorhynchus anatinus (platypus) is the source of this 138-nucleotide non-coding RNA. Lineage: Eukaryota; Metazoa; Chordata; Mammalia; Monotremata; Ornithorhynchidae. The record is from Rfam.